Molecule: ribosomal RNA, 538 nt
Filed under: Salmonella enterica
Lineage: Bacteria; Pseudomonadati; Pseudomonadota; Gammaproteobacteria; Enterobacterales; Enterobacteriaceae
Also listed under: 1 other name
Description: bacterial SSU rRNA
Rfam family: Bacterial small subunit ribosomal RNA
Source: RNAcentral
UGGAUUGGUGCCUUCGGGAACUGUGAGACAGGUGCUGCAUGGCUGUCGUCAGCUCGUGUUGUGAAAUGUUGGGUUAAGUCCCGCAACGAGCGCAACCCUUAUCCUUUGUUGCCAGCGAUUCGGUCGGGAACUCAAAGGAGACUGCCAGUGAUAAACUGGAGGAAGGUGGGGAUGACGUCAAGUCAUCAUGGCCCUUACGACCAGGGCUACACACGUGCUACAAUGGCGCAUACAAAGAGAAGCGACCUCGCGAGAGCAAGCGGACCUCAUAAAGUGCGUCGUAGUCCGGAUUGGAGUCUGCAACUCGACUCCAUGAAGUCGGAAUCGCUAGUAAUCGUGGAUCAGAAUGCCACGGUGAAUACGUUCCCGGGCCUUGUACACACCGCCCGUCACACCAUGGGAGUGGGUUGCAAAAGAAGUAGGUAGCUUAACCUUCGGGAGGGCGCUUACCACUUUGUGAUUCAUGACUGGGGUGAAGUCGUAACAAGGUAACCGUAGGGGAACCUGCGGUUGGAUCACCUCCUUACCUGAAAGAAGC